Mus musculus (house mouse) is the source of this 1679-nucleotide long non-coding RNA. RefSeq annotates it as predicted gene, 35409. Lineage: Eukaryota; Metazoa; Chordata; Mammalia; Rodentia; Muridae. The record is from RefSeq and is a predicted model, not a curated record. The transcript is spliced from 3 exons.
AGAGAGAGAGAGAGAGAGAGACCCUUUAACACGAGAUAACAAAGAUCAAUGAUUAGGGGACAGUGUAGCUUGUCCAAGAAGAUGAAGCUGAGCUUUGAGUUCAGUCUGCUGGGAUCUAGAGCCCCUUUCUUUUCACUACACUAAGGCAGACCAAAUGAGUAGAGGGAAGAAAAAGAAGAUUUGAACUGAUCUAAAAUACAGGUGGAGGGUCUGUCGCCUGCCAAAUGAAGGGUCUGGGCAGAGAAAACGACAUCGGCUCGUGGGGCUGGACAGCUUCGGAGAGAACUUGUUCUACUGAAGGAGAUCUGCCUCAGAUUCGUGUCUCACCGAGUAAUUCAACCUCCCUGGAUGAAGUUCAAGCCAGGAUGGCUGAGAGUUCAAGACCAGCCUAGGGGUUUGCUGUCCUAAGUAACAAUAAACUCCAACCCCCAAAUGCUGCCUGAUAGAUCUGUAGCUUCAGCCUGGAUGCUACCCUCACAGAGCUCAGUAACUGAAAGAGCGCGCAGCUGGGGGCGUGCCCAUCUCAGUCUGAUUCCAGAGUCUCCUUUCCUCUGUUAACCCGACCUGUGAGCUGUGGCUCCGUUCUCUGUCUUCCCUUUGCCCUUUAGUGGGCCUCUCAGUUCUAUCCUCUACAUCCAGGGCCUUCUCAUCUUUCACCUUGAACAGGUACCCAUGACCCCUUAAGAGGAUUUCUUGAACCUCUUAAGAGGAUUUCUGUCCAGGUGACUCUCCGUUCUAAUCCAUUCCUAAUCUUCUCACAGAGAAAGUGGGUUGUGCCGACUUCCUGCUUAGCCCUUCUGCUAACCCCCCCUCACAAACUGAAAUCACCCUCCUUGUGUGGGCGGGGUGAUGGGCGUUUCCUGUGUGGCUCCUUGUUCUCCUGCACCGACUUUUCCUGUGCUGGUUAAAUGAGUGCAGUGUCCUUUCACAUCUUAAUGAAAGCUCUCAGCUCUUUGCCAGUGUAGUGGUUUGAAUGAGAAUAGCCCCUACAGGCUCUUAUGAUUGAAUAGCUAGGUCCCUAGUUGGUGGAACUCUUUGUGAAGGAUUAGGAGGCGUGGUUUUGUGGGAGGAGGUGUGCCAUGCCAUCUCAUGGUUGUGUCUCAAGAGGUGAGCUCUCAGCUACUGCUCCCUGCUGCAGUGCAAUGCUCAUGAACUCUAACCCCCUGAAGCUGUGAGCCCCAAAUUCAGUGCAUUCUUUUAAUAAGCUGCCUUGGGCUAAGCUGUAUUUUUGAUGCCCUUCAUCAGGUAAAGGAGGUCUUCUCUGUAGCUGCUAAGAACGUGUCAUUGCCCCGAACGUUGUAUUUUAGCAGAUGUUUCUCCGUCUACUCAAUCUCUGAUUCACUUUUCUACUGUUGAUCAAUUUUCUUUUCCUGGAUAAAUCCCCCCAGGUUUUCCUUUUGAACCCAAACCAGUAUUAUCCUUUUGAAAAUACACUUCUGGUUUUGGUUCGUGAGUAUUGUGUUUAGAACACAGCCCUGCCGCCUGUGCACUGGCUUGGGGGAAGCAUUCCUUUUUGGAGAGGUGACCAAAAGCAAUGUGAUGGGAAGAAACAGCGUUUGAUUUCUGCUUCUGCCUGGGUUUGGGGGAUCGUCUGCAUGACCACAAUCUGGGGAGGACACGGUGUCCGCAGCUGUGUGAGACUAGCAGAGGAAAUGUAUGUCCUUACUGAGGUGGCCACA